Molecule: ribosomal RNA, 231 nt
Filed under: uncultured bacterium
Lineage: Bacteria
Description: partial 16S ribosomal RNA
Rfam family: Bacterial small subunit ribosomal RNA
Source: RNAcentral
CGGGUGAGUAACACGUGAGCAACCUGCCCCGAAGACUGGGAUAACACCGGGAAACCGGUGCUAAUACCGGAUGCCCUCCUCUGGUCGCAUGGCCUAGGGAGGAAAUGAGUUUUGCUUCGGGAGGGGCUCGCGGGCUAUCAGCUUGUUGGUGAGGUAACGGCUCACCAAGGCGACGACGGCUAGCUGGUCUGAGAGGACGACCAGCCACACUGGGACUGAGACACGGCCCAG